GUUUUGAGGUUUCCAAUCUGUCCUCGAUAUUAAGUAACUAUUAGACUGUAUGAAUAGACUGUGACUAUUUUUUAUCCCACUUGCUUUAUUUUUUGUUGAGUACACUUACCUCGCUUAGUCUCAAAAAUCUUAGCCAUUAAAACUCUGAAUUGUAUCUCUCCAAUUAGCUCUUUGUGCUGCCCCUAGAAGUUCAAUUACACACCUGUUGAAUUUUCUUCAUACUAUUCUAAAAUUCUGAGUGAUUUUCUCAGUUUUAUAUUUCUAAUUAUAUGUUUGUGCUCAGUUUAAUCUGGAGCUUUUCUAUUAAAUUUUAUAAUAUCAACUAUUAAAUUUUAAUUCCAAUAUUUUAGUUGGUUAAUUUUUAUAUUAGUCUAUUAUUGGUUAAGAACUGCAUGCUUUUAUUCCACUAUUCAUUUGACUCAGAGACUCCUAGAUGUUUGUGAGCAGAUUCUGAGUAAAAGUAGCAUGUGCCACUUCCAUAAGGUGCUUGUAAACCUCCCAUCCACUUUUUCUCAUGCUCUUUCCACUUUCCUGUCACCUUCAGGAUGAUGAGAGGAGCAAUUCUAAAGCCAAGUACUCAAAUUGGAACAAUCGCCUACAUGUCCAGGUCACUGAACAACUGUAUGUGUCAAAACUGGUGCCAAACUAAAAUUCCCCACACUGUACUGUUAUGUGAGAAACUUCUAAACCUUUAAGUCAGUUAAUUAUGGCUUGAAAACUCAUCUUGCAUUGGAAUAUUUCUCUUUUCCAACACGCCACCCCAAUCCAUGCAAUAUUUUCUGAGGUUGUGUCAGCCCAACCCCAGGGUUCCACAGUUCUUAAAGAGGUCAUCUAAGUAGUCAUAACACUAGAGGACAGCAUCUCUGUCUUAAAACCAGCAUAUAUAGCUUGACUAGGAUCGAACUUGUGCUGCUGCUUCUUUUUACUCUCUCCACCACAUAAAAGCAGUCUGUCCUACAAGUGGGCAAAACUUUACCAACUACAUUGGUAGUUAGCUUUGAGACUCAACAAGAGUUAUGCUGUCUCUUUUCAUAUCCAAGGGUUGAAAUUCUAGACUCAACUCCUGCUUCUGAGCUUAGCAUCUCUUGGGCCAUAAGGCUUCAUUUCCUAUUGUUAACCUCUAAAAUAUGUCUUGCUUGUGUAUUUUUUUAGCACUGUGAUACUCCUUUAUCAUCUCAUAAGCUAUUUCUACAUAUUUGUAGAAGUGAGAACAGUUAUCUUCAUGUACUUAAUCUAAUAUCAUGACUUCAUAAUUUGUUCUAAACAGUGAGAACUAUGCAGAGAUAUAUACGCAAAGAUAUGUUAGCAUUAAUAAAAAUAAAAAAUAAAUGAUUGACAAAAUGAUUUGAUUAAAUUAUGCUAUUUCACAGAAUAGAAUAUAUGCAGUCAAUCAAAAUAAUUAUGUUAAAGACUACUGACAAAGCUGAACAUAUAUUAAUUUUCCAAAUUAAAAAGUAGCCAUUAAAAAAAAUAAUAAUAAAAAAAUAAAAAAAUAAAAAAAAAUAAAAAGUAGCCAUUUAUACAAGUUUAUAUAUGUAUGAUAAACAUUUACAUGUUUGAACGCGUGUGUGUGUGCAUAUAUAACAUGUUACAGUGUAGGAUAUCAGGUUAUUUUAAAUUUGUAAACUCUGGGGACGCCUGGGUGGCUCAGUGGUUGAGCGUCUGCCUUCCGCUCAGGGUGUGAUCUCAGGGUUCCAGGAUCGAGUCCCACAUCAGGCUCCCUGGAGGAGCCUGCUUCUCCCUCUGCCUAUGUCUCUGCAUCUCUCUCUCUCUCUGUAUCUUUCAUGAAUAAAUAAAUAAAAACUUAAAAAAAAAUUUGUGGGUUCUGAAUAUAUAUUUCCCAAAAUUUUUAGGAUGAACAUUUUCUUAAUUCAGAAAACAGUAUUAAAAAGUUCAAUUUCUAAAGGUAAUACUGGACUACCACAGUGAAGAGUUGGUAUUAGUUGGUAAUACACUAAAAACAAAUAAAUUGAUAAAAAGAUAUUAUUUAGCUUAUGAUUUGUUCAUGCUAUCAUUGGCCCCAAAAUAAUACCUGUGCUUUUUACAACACUCUGGGACUCAAAUUUGGGAUCUUGAGCCUGCUGUUUCUUGUUUGACAAGCAGACAGAUCUUCCAUUAUGCCCCAAGGGUCAGAAAACUUGGGCUCUUUCAGGCAAAGCAGUAAAUUAUUUAGUAACUUCUUGAUAGCUCCAUUAAUGACCUGAUAGAUCAGCACAUCAAUGAAAUGUGUAAAGUAUACUAGUUGAUGGUGGUAUGAAAAAUUCAUUGAAUACAAAGGGAAGAAACAAACUGAUCAAAAUAUCAGUGGAGAGAAAAUCUGCCAAUACACAAAACCUUAAGGAAAUAAUGAGGAAAAUGAGAAUGAAGAGACGUAUUAAAAACAAUGGGUUUGGAAGCUUUGGAAGAUGUUUGACUCUGUAUAUUUAGGAAAAAAUAUAUAAAUUUCUGUUGUGAACUAUGUCUUAAAAACAUGUAUUUGAAACAAAACCUAGAGGGCUUGUGCAACUAAAAUAUUUACUGGACUUGACUGCUUUUAAAGUACUAGAUACAAUCUAAGUUCCUUGAGGGUUGGGCAAAUAACUAUAAUUUUUAUUUUCCAGUGCAUCAGCCUAGUGCUCCCCAUGUAGUAAGUGAUCAUUAAAUCAUUGCUGAAUUGAACAGAACAGACUGAAGUUUCCAAAAGUAAAAAGUGGUAAAUGCAAUUAUAUAAAUCUGGAAAACAACAAGGUCAUGUUCAGAAAACCUAUCCUUUAUUUGAUACAAUAUUUUGUUCUCUAUUUAAUAUUUCUGUAUGGAAACUACCCUCUAAAAAUUCUUGGGUUUUAGAAGACUUAUCCUUAUUUUAAUUUUCCUGUGCCACACAUACUUACUCUUUCCUUUUUAAGUCUAAGAACAGUGGCAGUAGAAAUGGAUUUUCUUCCAAGGUGAAAUAUUUUAAAAACCCAAAGUUCAUAAAUAAUUAACGCAUCUUGGCCCAGAAUUUAACUGAUACACAUAAAAGUUGGCCUACCCAAUGAGGCUGACUUCUCCCUAAGCUUUGAAGGCAAUAAUAGCUUUAAGCUUUUUGGAGGAAGAGAAAAAAAGAAAGGAAAAGCAUGCCUCCCAAGUAGGAGGCAGCUAUGUUUAUGAACCCUGAUGCCCGGCCAA
Molecule: long non-coding RNA, 3147 nt
Filed under: Canis lupus familiaris (dog)
Lineage: Eukaryota; Metazoa; Chordata; Mammalia; Carnivora; Canidae
Description: lncRNA (ENSCAFG00845002139.1)
Source: RNAcentral